GAUGAAGAACGUAGCGAAAUGCGAUAAGUAAUGUGAAUUGCAGAAUUCAGUGAAUCAUCGAAUCUUUGAACGCACAUUGCGCCCGCCAGUAUUCUGGCGGGCAUGCCUGUCCGAGCGUCAUUUCAACCCUCGAACCCCUCCGGGGGGUCGGCGUUGGGGAUCGGGAACCCCUAAGACGGGAUCCCGGCCCCGAAAUACAGUGGCGGUCUCGCCGCAGCCUCUCCUGCGCAGUAGUUUGCACAACUCGCACCGGGAGCGCGGCGCGUCCACGUCCGUAAAACACCCAACUUCUGAAAUGUUGACCUCUGAUCAGGUAGGAAUACCCGCUGAACUUAAGCAUAUCAAUAAGCGGAGGA
This 356-nucleotide unclassified non-coding RNA is filed under the name soil metagenome. RNAcentral describes it as "partial contains 5.8S ribosomal RNA, internal transcribed spacer 2, and large subunit ribosomal RNA". The stretch from base 1 to 120 matches the Rfam family "5.8S ribosomal RNA", at positions 35 to 154 of the family's 154-position model. The record is from RNAcentral.